AUGUAAAUUUUAUUCAGUAAGACCUGCUCAAUGAAUUUUAAAUAGCCGCAAUUUAGUGCUAAGGUAGCAUAAUAACUUGCCUUGUAAUUUAAGGCUAGCAUGAAAGGUUUAACAUGAUAACUUCUUUAUAAAAAAAAAUUCUUAAAUUUUACCUAUAAGUAAAAAGGCUUAUAUUUUUAAGGGGGACGACAAGACCCUGACGAGCUUUACUUAUUAGUUGCACUGGGGUGGUAAAAAACUAUAUCUUUUUAAAACAUUUCCUUUUAUCCUUAUUAUAAGAUUUUUCAAGUUACCGCAGGGAUAACAGCAUAAUUUUUUUCUAGAGACCUUAUCUAAAAAAAAGAUUGUGACCUCGAUGUUGAAUUAAUU
This 369-nucleotide ribosomal RNA is filed under the name Myrmekiaphila foliata. Its description in RNAcentral is "partial 16S large subunit ribosomal RNA". It matches the Rfam family "Bacterial large subunit ribosomal RNA", at positions 1836 to 2542 of the family's 2925-position model. Lineage: Eukaryota; Metazoa; Arthropoda; Arachnida; Araneae; Euctenizidae. The record is from RNAcentral.